AGAUAAAAAAGAGGAGGACCAUGUCUCACCAGUCACUGGUACAGAAAUGGUUCAGAAACGCUCUACUGUAACUGUUGUGUCAACAGUACUGCCUGUGUAAGUAGGGUGUGUAGGUUGGGGGUGGGGGGGUUGUCAGCGCAUGCAGUGAUGUGGGCUGGUGUGUAUUUUCUUUUCCCAGUCUGCCCCUGACCAGUGCUGUAGGUAAGACUUACUAUUCAUCUCAGACUCCCUCCAUGCAUACUGAUCCUGUUGUGACUCAUGUAUGUUUAGGCACCACUGUGUAAGCCAGACAUAGAUAUGAGUGAAAGAGGCUAAAGCUGGUGGUCUCAUUCACAGGGAGCUUUGAUGAGACACAAGAAAUGCACGAAGUGUGCUGUUGCUCGUCUUCCUCGUGACGUGCUUCAUCCUCAGUCUGCUGGUGGACGUUGGGUUCUUUGUGGUCAAGUUGAGGAGGGCUCGCAUCCCCUGGAGAAAAGAAAGAGGUGAUUGCGCACACCUGCGCCGCUUCCCUUUUAAAUGGGGAGCUCUGGGCGCGAGCCAUAUCAGGGAGAGGUGGACUCCAAGCUGCAGUGCCAGUGCACAGACAGACCAAGGACAGACCAACAACCUGAGGCCGGCAACCUGAGGCCGGCAACCUGAGGCCGGCAACCUGAGGCCGGCAACCUGAGGCCGGCAACCUGAGGACGGCAACCUGAGGCCGGCAACCUGAGGACGGCAACCUGAGGACGGCAACCUGAGGACGGCAACCUGAGGCCGGCAACCUGAGGCCGGCAACCUGAGGACGGCAACCUGAGGACGGCAACCUGAGGCCGGCAACCUGAGGCCGGCAACCUGAGGCCGGCAACCUGAGGACGGCAACCUGAGGACGGCAACCUGAGGACGGCAACCUGAGGACGGCAACCUGAGGACGGCAACCUGAGGACGGCAACCUGAGGACGGCAACCUGAGGACGGCAACCUGAGGACGGCAACCUGAGGCCGGCAACCUGAGGCCGGCAACCUGAGGACGGCAACCUGAGGACGGCAACCUGAGGCCGGCAACCUGAGGCCGGCAACCUGAGGCCGGCAACCUGAGGACGGCAACCUGAGGCCGGCAACCUGAGGACGGCAACCUGAGGACGGCAACCUGAGGACGGCAACCUGAGGCCGGCAACCUGAGGCCGGCAACCUGAGGCCGGCAACCUGAGGCCGGCAACCUGAGGACGGCAACCUGAGGACGGCAACCUGAGGACGGCAACCUGAGGACGGCAACCUGAGGACGGCAACCUGAGGACGGCAACCUGAGGACGGCAACCUGAGGACGGCAACCUGAGGACGGCAACCUGAGGACGGCAACCUGAGGACGGCAACCUGAGGACGGCAACCUGAGGACGGCAACCUGAGGACGGCAACCUGAGGACGGCAACCUGAGGACGGCAACCUGAGGACGGCAACCUGAGGACGGCAACCUGAGGACGGCAACCUGAGGACGGCAACCUGAGGACGGCAACCUGAGGACGGCAACCUGAGGCCUCAUGAACUACUUGAACAUUGUUUUAUUUCAGGGCAUGGACUGGUAUGUUCAGAUUAAAUGACAGCAUAGUUUCACUCUGGUUAUGAGGAGGAUGUGGAGCUGAACCCAAUGCAGGGUUUCAGAUGGCAAAGAGACAAUAGUUACAGUCACUGGUGGUUUAGACAUGCCAUUACUCUCAACACCCAUGUCUCUCAACGCCCCGAGACACUUCAACUAGUUUGAACUUGUGUGUAGGUCUUUUAACAAUGCCUGUUAACAAUGCCUGUUAUGCAUCUUGGCUGCAGGUAUUAUAUUAAACUACUCACCCUAACUGCAUCCUGAAUAAAGUGACUUAUGGUUUGACAAAAGGAUUCCAUGUAUUGUGUAAAUGAUCUGUCGCUUAUAAUUGUCAUUGAGGAAAUGGUUAAAUGUUAGGACAUUUUGACUAUCCACAUUGGAACGUUCUUAUCUUU
This is a long non-coding RNA of Salvelinus namaycush (lake trout), 1964 nucleotides long. RefSeq lists it as uncharacterized. The transcript has 3 exons. The record is from RefSeq and is a predicted model, not a curated record. Lineage: Eukaryota; Metazoa; Chordata; Actinopteri; Salmoniformes; Salmonidae.